GCUAGUGUAGCUUAAAUAAAGCAUAAUACUGAAAAUGUUAAGAAGAACCCUAGAAAGUUCCACAAGCA
This 68-nucleotide transfer RNA is filed under the name Crenuchus spilurus (sailfin tetra). Its description in RNAcentral is "tRNA-Phe". It matches the Rfam family "tRNA". From Rfam's summary of the family: Transfer RNA (tRNA) molecules are approximately 80 nucleotides in length. Their secondary structure includes four short double-helical elements and three loops (D, anti-codon, and T loops). The record is from RNAcentral. Lineage: Eukaryota; Metazoa; Chordata; Actinopteri; Characiformes; Crenuchidae.